This 207-nucleotide ribosomal RNA is filed under the name uncultured bacterium. Its description in RNAcentral is "partial 16S ribosomal RNA". It matches the Rfam family "Bacterial small subunit ribosomal RNA", at positions 126 to 334 of the family's 1533-position model. The record is from RNAcentral.
GUGCCCUAGAGAAGAGGAUAACAGUUGGGAAACGACUGCUAAGACUCUAUAUGCCUUUAAGACAGAAGUCUGCAAGGGAAAUAUUUAUAGCUCUAGGAUCAGCCUGUACAGUAUCAGUUAGUUGGUGAGGUAAUGGCUCACCAAGACAAUGACGCUUAACUGGUUUGAGAGGAUGAUCAGUCACACUGGAACUGAGACACGGUCCAG